CUGUUAUCCCUAAAGUAACUUAAAUUUUCAAUCAAUAAUAAUGGAUCAAAUAACCAAAAAUAAUUGUAAUUAUAAAUUAAAAGUUAUAUAAAUUUUAAUAUCACCCCAAUAAAAUAAUACAAAUUAUUAAAAUAAAAUUUUUCAAAAAAAUUAUAAUAAUUUAAUUAUAAAGAUUUAUAGGGUCUUCUCGUCUUUUAAAAAAAUUUUAGCUUUUUUACUAAAAAAUAAAAUUUUAUAAAAAUUUUAAUUGAAACAGUUAAUAUCUCGUCCAAUCAUUCAUUCCAGCCUUC
This 290-nucleotide ribosomal RNA is filed under the name Chalarus sp. A. RNAcentral describes it as "partial 16S ribosomal RNA". Lineage: Eukaryota; Metazoa; Arthropoda; Insecta; Diptera; Pipunculidae. The record is from RNAcentral.